This 2877-nucleotide ribosomal RNA is filed under the name Cupriavidus taiwanensis. Its description in RNAcentral is "bacterial LSU rRNA". It matches the Rfam family "Bacterial large subunit ribosomal RNA". Lineage: Bacteria; Pseudomonadati; Pseudomonadota; Betaproteobacteria; Burkholderiales; Burkholderiaceae. The record is from RNAcentral.
UCAAGCGAACAAGUGCAUGUGGUGGAUGCCUUGGCGAUCACAGGCGAUGAAGGACGCGGUAGCCUGCGAAAAGCUUCGGGGAGCUGGCAAACAAGCUUUGAUCCGGAGAUGUCCGAAUGGGGAAACCCGGCCCGUAUGGGUCAUCCCACACUGAAUCCAUAGGUGUGGGAAGCGAACGCGGCGAACUGAAACAUCUAAGUAGCUGCAGGAACAGAAAUCAACCGAGAUUCCCAAAGUAGUGGCGAACGAAAUGGGAAGAGCCUUGCACUCUUUAGCAGGACUGUUAGCAAAACGGGAUGGAAAGCCCGGCCAUAGCAGGUGAUAGCCCUGUAUGCGAAAACAGACUUGUGGAACUAGGUGUGCGACAAGUAGGGCGGGACACGUGAAAUCCUGUCUGAAGAUGGGGGGACCAUCCUCCAAGGCUAAAUACUCGUGAUCGACCGAUAGUGAACCAGUACCGUGAGGGAAAGGCGAAAAGAACCCCGGGAGGGGAGUGAAAUAGAUCCUGAAACCGCAUGCAUACAAACAGUCGGAGCCUCGUAAGGGGUGACGGCGUACCUUUUGUAUAAUGGGUCAGCGACUUACAUUCAGUGGCAAGCUUAACCGAUUAGGGAAGGCGUAGCGAAAGCGAGUCCGAACAGGGCGUUGAGUCGCUGGGUGUAGACCCGAAACCAGAUGAUCUAUCCAUGGCCAGGUUGAAGGUGCGGUAACACGUACUGGAGGACCGAACCCACUAACGUUGAAAAGUUAGGGGAUGAGCUGUGGAUAGGGGUGAAAGGCUAAACAAAUCUGGAAAUAGCUGGUUCUCUCCGAAAACUAUUUAGGUAGUGCCUCGUGUCUCACCUUCGGGGGUAGAGCACUGUCAUGGUUGGGGGGUCUAUUGCUGAUUACCCCGCCAUAGCAAACUCCGAAUACCGAAGAGUGCAAUCACGGGAGACAGACAUCGGGUGCUAACGUCCGGUGUCAAGAGGGAAACAACCCAGACCGCCAGCUAAGGUCCCAAAGAUUGGCUAAGUGGGAAACGAAGUGGGAAGGCUAAAACAGUCAGGAGGUUGGCUUAGAAGCAGCCACCCUUUAAAGAAAGCGUAAUAGCUCACUGAUCGAGUCGUCCUGCGCGGAAGAUGUAACGGGGCUAAGCCAGUCACCGAAGCUGCGGACGCACGCAAGUGCGUGGUAGGAGAGCGUUCUGUAAGCCUGUGAAGGUGUCUUGUAAAGGAUGCUGGAGGUAUCAGAAGUGCGAAUGCUGACAUGAGUAGCGAUAAAGGGGGUGAAAGGCCCCCUCGCCGUAAGCCCAAGGUUUCCUACGCAACGUUCAUCGGCGUAGGGUGAGUCGGCCCCUAAGGCGAGGCAGAGAUGCGUAGCUGAUGGGAAGCAGGUUAAUAUUCCUGCACCGUCGUAUGAUGCGAUGGGGGGACGGAUCGCGGAAGGUUGUCCGGGUGUUGGAAGUCCCGGUCCCUGCAUUGGAGAAGGCGCUCAGGCAAAUCCGGGCGCGGGAUUCAAGAGUGUGGGGCGAGCGGCCUAGUGCUGCGAAGCAAUUGGAAGUGGUUCCAAGAAAAGCCUCUAAGCUUCAGUCAUACGAGACCGUACCGCAAACCGACACAGGUGGGCGAGAUGAGUAUUCUAAGGCGCUUGAGAGAACUCGGGAGAAGGAACUCGGCAAAUUGGUACCGUAACUUCGGGAUAAGGUACGCCCUGGUAGCUUGACUGGCCUGCGCCAGAAGGGUGAAGGGGUUGCAAUAAAAUGGUGGCUGCGACUGUUUAAUAAAAACACAGCACUCUGCAAACACGAAAGUGGACGUAUAGGGUGUGACGCCUGCCCGGUGCCGGAAGAUUAAAUGAUGGGGUGCAAGCUCUUGAUUGAAGUCCCGGUAAACGGCGGCCGUAACUAUAACGGUCCUAAGGUAGCGAAAUUCCUUGUCGGGUAAGUUCCGACCUGCACGAAUGGCGUAACGAUGGCCACACUGUCUCCUCCCGAGACUCAGCGAAGUUGAAGUGUUUGUGAUGAUGCAAUCUCCCCGCGGCUAGACGGAAAGACCCCAUGAACCUUUACUGUAGCUUUGCAUUGGACUUUGAACCGAUCUGUGUAGGAUAGGUGGGAGGCUUUGAAGCGUGGACGCUAGUCUACGUGGAGCCGUCCUUGAAAUACCACCCUGGUUUGUUUGAGGUUCUAACCUUGGCCCGUGAAUCCGGGUCGGGGACAGUGCAUGGUAGGCAGUUUGACUGGGGCGGUCUCCUCCCAAAGUGUAACGGAGGAGUUCGAAGGUACGCUUGGUACGGUCGGACAUCGUACCUAAAGUGCAAUGGCAAAAGCGUGCUUAACUGCGAGACCGACAAGUCGAGCAGGUGCGAAAGCAGGACAUAGUGAUCCGGUGGUUCUGAAUGGAAGGGCCAUCGCUCAACGGAUAAAAGGUACUCUGGGGAUAACAGGCUGAUACCGCCCAAGAGUUCAUAUCGACGGCGGUGUUUGGCACCUCGAUGUCGGCUCAUCUCAUCCUGGGGCUGUAGCCGGUCCCAAGGGUAUGGCUGUUCGCCAUUUAAAGAGGUACGUGAGCUGGGUUUAAAACGUCGUGAGACAGUUUGGUCCCUAUCUGCCGUGGGCGUUGGAAUCUUGACGGGGGCUGCUCCUAGUACGAGAGGACCGGAGUGGACGUACCGCUGGUGUACCUGUUGUCUCGCCAGAGGCAUCGCAGGGUAGCUAUGUACGGAAGAGAUAACCGCUGAAAGCAUCUAAGCGGGAAACUCGCCUGAAGAUGAGGAUUCCCUGGCGGCUUGACCGCCUUGAAGGGUCGUUCGAGACCAGGACGUUGAUAGGCUGGGUGUGGAAGCGCAGUAAUGCGUUAAGCUAACCAGUACUAAUUGCCCGUAAGGCUUGAUCCU